This 976-nucleotide non-coding RNA is filed under the name Oceanodroma tethys (Wedge-rumped storm-petrel). Its description in RNAcentral is "12S ribosomal RNA". It matches the Rfam family "Bacterial small subunit ribosomal RNA". Lineage: Eukaryota; Metazoa; Chordata; Aves; Procellariiformes. The record is from RNAcentral.
AAAAGACUUAGUCCUAACCUUACCGUUAAUUCUUGCUAAACAUAUACAUGCAAGUAUCCGCGCCCCAGUGUAAAUGCCCCUAGCCUCUUACCAAGUUGAAGGGAGCAGGCAUCAGGCACACCCACGAUUGUAGCCCAAGACGCCUUGCCCAGCCACACCCCCACGGGUACUCAGCAGUAAUUAGUCUUAAGCAAUGAGUGAAAACUUGACUUAGUUAUAGCAGCACUUAGGGUUGGUAAAUCUUGUGCCAGCCACCGCGGUCACACAAGGGACCCAAAUUAACUGUAGCACGGCGUAAAGAGUGGUACUAUGUUAUCUCAGCAAACUAAGAUCAAAAUGCAACCAAGCUGUCAUAAGCUUAGAGUGCACCUAAAGCCACCAUCAAGAUGAUCCUAGCGCCCACGAUUAAUUGAACCCCACGAAAGCUAGGACCCAAACUGGGAUUAGAUACCCCACUAUGCCUAGCCCUAAAUCUUGAUACCUAUCCUACUAAAGUAUCCGCCCGAGGACUACGAGCACAAACGCUUAAAACUCUAAGGACUUGGCGGUGUUCCAAACCCACCUAGAGGAGCCUGUUCUAUAAUCGAUAACCCACGAUACACCCGACCGCUCUUUGCCAAAGCAGCCUACAUACCGCCGUCGCCAGCUCACCUCAUCUGAGAGCACAACAGUGAGCGUAAUAGCCUCAAACCCCGCUAGUAAGACAGGUCAAGGUAUAGCCUAUGGAGCGGAAGAAAUGGGCUACAUUUUCUAACGUAGAAGACCCUUACGGAAAGGGGUGUGAAAUCACCCCUAAAAGGCGGAUUUAGCAGUAAAGCGGGACAAUAGUGCCCCCUUUAAGUCGGCCCUGGAGCACGUACAUACCGCCCGUCACCCUCCUCAUAAGCUACAAACUCUAAUAGCUAAUAUCCCCUACAGCUAAAGACGAGGUAAGUCGUAACAAGGUAAGUGUACCGGAAGGUGCACUUAGUAUACC